UACAGAGGUGGCAAGCGUUGUUCGGAAUUACUGGGCGUAAAGGGCGCGUAGGCGGUCUUGUAAGUCUUGUGUGAAAUCUCCAGGCUUAACUUGGAAACUGCCAUUGAUACUAUCAGUCUUGAAUACCGUGGAGGUCAGCGGAAUAUGUCAUGUAGCGGUGAAAUGCUUAGAUAUGACAUAGAACACCAAUUGCGAAGGCAGCUGGCUACACGAAUAUUGACACUGAUGCACGAAAGCGUGGGGAUCAAACAGG
Molecule: ribosomal RNA, 253 nt
Filed under: uncultured bacterium
Lineage: Bacteria
Description: partial 16S ribosomal RNA
Rfam family: Bacterial small subunit ribosomal RNA
Source: RNAcentral